GCUCUCUGGCAGCAGACACUAAGAUUGGAACAAUAUAGAUUAGCAUGGCCCUGUGCAAAGAUGACACUCAAAUUCGUGAAAAGUGUUAUGUAUUU
Molecule: small nuclear RNA, 95 nt
Filed under: Nannospalax galili (Upper Galilee mountains blind mole rat)
Lineage: Eukaryota; Metazoa; Chordata; Mammalia; Rodentia; Spalacidae
Source: RNAcentral